CUGGAUCCCACCACAGAGCACAUCUAUGGGGAGAACUUUUUCUCCCGUGUGGAUGGCGUGGCUGCCGCCCUGGACAGUUUCCAGGCCCGUGAGUGCUUGACUUCGGAGGCCAGUCCCUUGCCCGCAGCUGUGCCAGUCCCACUUCUGACCCACUGCUCCCUUGCCAGGGCACUAUGUGGCUGCUCGUUGCACCCACUAUCUGAAGCCACUGCUGGAGGCAGGCACAUCGGGCACCUGGGGCAGUUGUUCAGUAUUCAUGCCACAUGUGACUGAGGCCUACAGAGCCCCUGUCUCAGCUGCAGCUUCUGAGGAUGCCCCCUACCCUAUCUGUACCGUGCGGUACUUCCCUAGCACAGCCGAGCACACCCUGCAGUGGGCCCGGCAUGAGUUUGAGGGACUCUUCCGACGGUCUGCAGAGACCAUCAACCACCACCAACAGGCACACACUUCCCUGGCAGACAUGGAUGAGCCACAGACACUCACCUUACUGAAGCCGGUGCUUGGGGUCCUGAGAGUGCGUCCACAGAACUGGCAAGACUGUGUGGCGUGGGCUCUUGGCCACUGGAAACUCUGCUUCCAUUAUGGCAUC
This 589-nucleotide small RNA is filed under the name Pongo abelii (Sumatran orangutan). RNAcentral's name for it is "retained intron". The record is from RNAcentral. Lineage: Eukaryota; Metazoa; Chordata; Mammalia; Primates; Hominidae.